ACUCCGUCCAGGGUGUAUCCUGCCUUGAUGCCCGAUGACACCUGAGAUAGGCACAGGCUCCCCGUGACCCGAGAAGUUCGGAUAAAGUGAAGUCUCCAGUGUCAGAGUUAAAGCCGUAACCUCUGAAAAUCUUCAGGCUGAAAGGCUUUCUUGUUUUUUUCCAGUCUGUAUUGUUAUUGUUAGUUACUUCAAAAGAUGAAGACGUCAAGAUCAAACAUGGGAGCUAUGGGAUGGCAGAAGUACGAUGUCUCCUAAGAAAUGUUCAGAAACUGUACACAAUACUUCUGUAGCACAUCCACCUCAAGUCCUGACAUGUUGUGCAUUCUGAGAUGCUUUUCUGCUCACCACAACUGUAAAGAGUGAUUAUUUGUGUCCUGUCAGCUUGAUCCAGUCUGACGUUUCUCCUCUGACUCUCUUAAUAAAGUGGCCAAUGUGUGUAUAUUUUAUAUGCAGUAUAUGAAGAAUAUGUGUGUGUCUGUAUGUAUGUAAUAGAGUCUGAGUGAAGAUUGGAUGAGGAAAAAGAGUUUAGAAGAAGGAGACAGAAAGGAAAGGCAUAAAGAAAGAGAGAGAGAGAGACAUCCACACCUCCUCCCCUCAUCACACUGCUUCGCUUCUGUUACUAGGCAACACCUACAGGCAUGUGCUAAAUAAAGAUUAGCAUCCAGCUCUCAGAGCCUGAGCCCACCUCAUUCCUUCCCAUAAUCCCCCAGUUUGGACACGGAGCAGAACUACAGCACCACCACAGAAGACAGUGAGCUGGCCUUGAGGAGCAAACCCACAAUCAUCAGCUCCACUCCAUCAGCAGUCACCUGGAGGUGCCGUUGCGCUAACCGUGACCCAGAAGUACACACUGCAGCAGCUCUCUGGAGAACGAGCUGUGACGCACGCAGAGAAAGUGAGAGAGAAAGAGAGAGAGAGAGAGUGCGGAGGGUGGGGAGGAGCAGUUUCUAGUGGUUUCUUGAGGUAAAGGAGAGGUGGAGAACAGAGAUGAGAUGCUCGUCUCCUCCGUUAUUUUCAGUGACUUUUCAGAGCGUCAUCAUUGCAGGAGCUUACAUCCUAAAUACUUCAUCUUAAAGGAAUAGUCAGACAUUUUUUUUUUCAGUCUAAUCUCUACCCAGGGCAUCUACAGAGUACAUGUGCAUGAUUACUGUAGAAAAGAAUUACACUUUUUUUUUUCUUCUGACCAAAUUCCAAUACGAUAUAUUUUUUUUUUUUGUUCCUUACCAAAACCCAUUAUGACAAUAUUCAGUUUUCUCAACUGAAUUCCAACACUCAAUUUCCAUUUGCUCCUAACCACAUUUUUAUCUGUGGCACACACUAAGAGAUUAUUGCCCCGCCUCCCCGGACCCAUUUCCUGCCCCCUAGUGGACAUGUUCAUGUUACACGACAGACACUUCGUAAACUUCACGUGUUCAUAAAUACAGGGAUGCAGAAGUAUAAAUCAGGCUUUAAUGUUCCGAGUCAGCGUUUACUCCGGCUAAUCUUAACAGGAGUUAGCAUGAGUUUGUACAGUCCGGACAGAACGUACCGUUCUACACAUAACUGUGCGUUUGUUAAGUUUGUUCCUGAUCUCAGUACAUCUAAACAUCCUAAUUAGAGAGAGGAAAAUUUUGGACAGACAUCCCUUCUAAGCAUCCCAGGCCAAAGAAACAGAAGCGAUCUAAUCCCCCAUGAAACCCUAGAUCAUCCCUAGCAGACGUUCGCUCCGUCUCGGCUUGCGCUCAUUGCGUAACCUUUUUUAUUAUAUAAUCCCUAAUGUGCAUUCAUGUCCAACAGGCUUAACCUAGCUUAGUAGAGUCUAGUGCACAAAGCCAGGAAGGAGGAAAAAAGGUCCAGCUUACAUGUUCCGUCCUCCCGAUGAACUGCUUACGUAUCCGACGUCAGGGUUUUUAUUACGGACCAGAAAUAAGAACAUGAUAAGUGUGCAUAAAGUCUAUUAAAGGAAACAAAAGAAAUUCUUAGACACAGCGUAUAUGGGGGCGAGACUUUUCACCGAUGAAUAAUACGUCGUUUUCACCAUCUAUUCUGCCUACAUCUUAGUCUUUGGAAAGGGUGAAGGAAAGCGAGGGUGUAGACAGCAGUGAAAGAAAACCAGAAUGACAUUUCAUAAAAAGGUGGCAAGAUGGAGUGAGAUUUUCUGAAAGAUUUAAUUAGCACUGUUGUUGCUGUGGAAAGAAAAUAAACUCCACUCAAGUCUGAGAGACAAACCACAGACAGAAUUAUAAAAAUGAUAACAUCCGUUCCCUUUUCUCUUCAGCAACACACACACCUAUAUUUGAGUGUGUGUGUGUGUGUGUUACACACAAUCACACACACCCCUGACCCAUUCACAGUCUGACAGUGUGUGUGUGGGUUUGCUGGCCUGUCGGCUGCUGUCUCGUCUGUGUCCCGCUCUCUGCUGCUGUUAUUUGGCUUGUUGAACACUGAAUAGAUCGGCACACCGAGGAGUUUGUUACUAUGGACACGGUGCUGGGGAAGGACCGUCGUGCCAAGCUAAACACCAGCCGAAUCUAGACAGCAGCAAGCACAGUUUCUAAAGCGUGCUGGAAAGAUAUUUGAUUCAGUAAUUAAAUGAAAGACUUUCGUAGGCAAUACAGAACCCAGGCAAUUACACUUCAAACUUUUAUUAAAAGUUGUAUUUACAUUCUAUAGAACACUUACAUGGGUGUUAAAUCAAAUGCAUUUUGGGUCCAAACUAAAAACAAAACACUGGCAAACACAGGGCUUGGGUUACUGUAGUAGCUUGUUUGACAUUUAGUCAUUGGCAAAGAAAAAUCUUAACAGUCCAAUUAGAUGCACGUAAAAAUGUUAAAAUAAAAAAAAUACAAAAAAAAAACAAAAAAAAAAUACAAAAAAUAAAA
This is a long non-coding RNA of Tachysurus fulvidraco (yellow catfish), 2861 nucleotides long. RefSeq lists it as uncharacterized. The transcript has 2 exons. NCBI's taxonomy places the organism in Eukaryota, Metazoa, Chordata, Actinopteri, Siluriformes, Bagridae. The record is from RefSeq and is a predicted model, not a curated record.